RNAcentral lists this ribosomal RNA (167 nucleotides) under uncultured rumen bacterium. Its description in RNAcentral is "partial 16S ribosomal RNA". It matches the Rfam family "Bacterial small subunit ribosomal RNA", at positions 340 to 524 of the family's 1533-position model. The record is from RNAcentral.
UACGGGAGGCAGCAGUGGGGGAUAUUGCACAAUGGGGGGAACCCUGAUGCAGCGACGCCGCGUGAGUGAAGAAGUUAUUCGUAAUGUAAAGCUCUAUCAGCAGGGAAGAAGCAGACGGUACCUGACUAAGAAGCACCGGCUAAAUACGUGCCAGCAGCCGCGGUAAU